GGCUCAGAUUGAACGCUGGCGGCAGGCCUAACACAUGCAAGUCGAGCGGCAGCACGGGUACUUGUACCUGGUGGCGAGCGGCGGACGGGUGAGUAAUGCCUAGGAAUCUGCCUGGUAGUGGGGGAUAACGCUCGGAAACGGACGCUAAUACCGCAUACGUCCUACGGGAGAAAGCAGGGGACCUUCGGGCCUUGCGCUAUCAGAUGAGCCUAGGUCGGAUUAGCUAGUUGGUGAGGUAAUGGCUCACCAAGGCGACGAUCCGUAACUGGUCUGAGAGGAUGAUCAGUCACACUGGAACUGAGACACGGUCCAGACUCCUACGGGAGGCAGCAGUGGGGAAUAUUGGACAAUGGGCGAAAGCCUGAUCCAGCCAUGCCGCGUGUGUGAAGAAGGUCUUCGGAUUGUAAAGCACUUUAAGUUGGGAGGAAGGGCAUUUACCUAAUACGUAAGUGUUUUGACGUUACCGACAGAAUAAGCACCGGCUAACUCUGUGCCAGCAG
RNAcentral lists this ribosomal RNA (500 nucleotides) under Pseudomonas sp. RNAcentral's name for it is "bacterial SSU rRNA". It matches the Rfam family "Bacterial small subunit ribosomal RNA", at positions 21 to 514 of the family's 1533-position model. Lineage: Bacteria; Pseudomonadati; Pseudomonadota; Gammaproteobacteria; Pseudomonadales; Pseudomonadaceae. The record is from RNAcentral.